This 253-nucleotide ribosomal RNA is filed under the name uncultured bacterium. RNAcentral describes it as "partial 16S ribosomal RNA". It matches the Rfam family "Bacterial small subunit ribosomal RNA", at positions 524 to 776 of the family's 1533-position model. The record is from RNAcentral.
UACGAAGGGUGCUAGCGUUGUUCGGAAUCACUGGGCGUAAAGCGCGCGUAGGCGGCCAAUCAAGUCAGAGGUGAAAUCCCACAGCUUAACUGUGGAACUGCCUUUGAAACUGUAUGGCUAGAGUGUCGGAGGGGAUGGCGGAAUUGCUAAUGUAGAGGUGAAAUUCGUAGAUAUUAGCAGGAACACCGGUGGCGAAGGCGGCCAUCUGGACGACAACUGACGCUGAGGCGCGAAAGCGUGGGGAUCAAACAGG